Molecule: small RNA, 2563 nt
Filed under: Histoplasma capsulatum
Lineage: Eukaryota; Fungi; Ascomycota; Eurotiomycetes; Onygenales; Ajellomycetaceae
Also listed under: 1 other name
Description: hypothetical RNA
Source: RNAcentral
CCCGUGAUACUAGUUAUUCAAGACAUGCUCAUUGGCAUGAGUACCAGCUACUGCUUAAUGGAUGCAGUAGCUCUUGAGGAACUCUAAUGAUUUCCCUGGAACUUCAUUCUGUAUGUUCCACUGAGGCUGAAUGUGAAAAAUAAUGCAUUAUCAAGCAACACAUUCCUUACCUCGCCAUGAAGCUUCCCGAGUUAGCGGAUCCUUUCUGUUCUCCAUUUUGUUUCCUUUUAAUAAGUUGGAUAUCUGUCUCCAAUGAUAUUGCUUGCUUUGAUCAACUCGUCGAUCUCCUUCAUGUCUUCAGCAGAAAAUGGAGGUAGGGUUUGCAAAUUCUCUGACACCCGCUCUUUCGAUUUGGCUGAUGGUAUCGGGAUAAUUGUGGGCAUGUUUUUGUCAUUGUUGAGGGUCCUGACCCAAUUCAAUGCGGCCUGAGCGGGGGUUAUCUUCUUUCUUUCAGCAAAUGAUAUAACGUCAUCAACAAAUUUCUGGUUGGCGGCCAGAGCGGCCUCUUGAAAUCUCGGUAGGUAAUUACGGAUGUCGCCCUGGGGAAUGUCGGAGGGCUUGGCGAUCCUGCGCGUCAGUGCCCCCCUGCCCAGCGGAGAGUAAGCCACAAUGGGUAUUCCAAGCUCUGCACAGGUCGUCGCCACUCCGUUUUCAAGGAUAUCGGGACUCCACAGCGAUAGUUCAACUUCGACUGCUGCAAUUGGAUGGACCUUGUGCCUGUGAUACUUGAAGUUAGAUGCAUUCCCCGGCCUGCUGGAUGUCGAUACUUACGCCCGUCGUAUGGUUUCUGCGUCCACCUCGCUCAGGCCGAUACCUUUGAGCUUUCCUUCUUUCACCAUCUUUGCGAGGUGGCCGAUGGUUUCUUCUACUGGGUACUUUGGGUCCAAUCGAGAGAUGUGAAACAGGUCAAGCUCUUUUACGCCAUCUAGGACCCUCAAACACUCAUCCACACUUGUUCGGAGAUUUUCUUCAGACCCGUCUGGAGCGAGUUCGUCUCGUGCCAUACCUCCUUGGAUGCUAAGGACAACUUUGUCAGCUGCCUCUGGGUGUUGGGUGAAAAAUUUAUGGAUGAUGUGAAGAGAGUUGUGUUCCGGGGUGCCGUAUAUUUCGCCGCCGUUCCAGAGGUUGGCCCCAAGGGAUAAUGCUGCAUUCAUUGCCUCAGUAUAUUUGGGCUCCGGAGUUGGUUGUGCACACCAUGUGAAUCCUAUUUCCGUCGCCAAUGGUUGAGCGAAUGCCCCAUAGCUCUAAGAGUGGGAUUGGCGACUCACCCAUGAGGCCAUAGCCAGUUGGGCCAACCUCUUUUCCGACAACGGUAGGCAUUUUAUAGAGCGUUGUGGAAAGGAAAUUGAAAAAUUGAAAAAAUUGAAUCGGUUUGUUGGGAUGUUAUCAAGAUAGCUUUUGAAAUCAAAUUUGACGUUCCGAAUGAUGAAUUUUAUACUUAAAUCAGCUUCAGCUUUCUUGACUAUUUGGAAUGGGCGUGCACGUGGAUUUUCUUAUCUUGCCAAUUCAUCGUAGUGGCGAAGGAACAAGCACUGGGGGCUGGAAGAAUAGUUAGACAACACCGAUACAUCCAUCGAAAACGCUCCUCAUGAUAAAAAGAAUAUCUCACCAGGUGAUGCUUUACGCUUACAAAGCACAGCUAUCGGGUAGAACAUCAGAACAGGUUUGCAAACGCUUUCAUUCAGCAGCAGAGGGUAUCUCCAAGGUAUUUUACUCUUCUCUACGCUUUAAUUACACCGAACAAACAUCAAUACAAAAGUACUCUUUGAGCUGAUUUCACCUGAUUGAAUUAGUAAUGUGCAAGCGUAUUCCACCAUUCCUUAAACUUUAUGAUAGUUCAAUUGGAAAUAUCCGAGGCGGGAUUAUUCUCCAAUUGCAAAAACUCUCCGAUACACGGACCUCACGCAGCUGGCACCAACAAGGCUAGAAAUAUCUGAGGCGGGAGUUUGAACCGGAACACGCUUGGCUCAGCUGUCCAUACAGGGUUGGAGCCGGCCAAGGUGGGAAUACAAGUCCUAGGAGAAGAACUUUUCGAAUGUCCGGAAAAAGAUGUCGGAUGCAACGUUGUUGUAUUGUUGCCCAACGGUCCGAAGAGAGAACUGAGGGGUCUGGCGGCAUCAAGACUAGGGUUCCCUGCAACAGAGUCGAUAACGGGCACCUGGUUCUGCUUCCUAGCGAGCACACAAAGCAAUGUGAGAUUAUGCUGGUAUAACGCCUCAUCUGUAGUCAACACUGAUCUCUGAAAUAGGAGUAAAGAUACAGAAGAGCAAAGCCUGUGGAGUGCUCUUUACUCCUCCUGUUUUUCUUUUUUUUCUUUUUUUCUUCCCAGAAAGAAGGAAAGAAAAAACUGAUCGAUUCUUUGCCCAAAAGGAUAUCCGCCCCGCAAGGAUUAGAUGAUAACUUGUUAAUUCCGAAAUAUUCGUCUACCAAAAUCAAUGGAUGUCCUUCACCUUCAGGGUCAAUCAGCAGCUAUGUACGGGGCUCCCUAGAUAAGUUAUAUCAAUGUUUGUACUGUACAAUGCAAGUUCUUGAGCAAUAGUGGAAGGAAUGAAUAUUCAGAAGG